UUGGAGGGCAAGUCUGGUGCCAGCAGCCGCGGUAAUUCCAGCUCCAAUAGCGUAUAUUAAAGUUGUCGCAGUUAAAAAGCUCGUAGUUGAAUUUCGGGGUUAGUAGGUUGGUCAUGCCUCUGGUAUGUACUGGUCUCACUGAUUCCUCCUUCCUGAUGAGCCGUAAUGCCAUUAAUUUGGUGUUGCGGGGAAUUUGGACUGUUACUUUGAAAAAAUUAGAGUGUUUAAAGCAAGCUAACGCUUGAAUACAUUAGCAUGGAAUAAUGAAAUAGGACGUUCGAUCCUAUUUUGUUGGUUUCUAGGAUCGACGUAAUGAUUAAUAGGGAUAGUUGGGGGCAUUAGUAUUCAAUUGUCAGAGGUGAAAUUCUUGGAUUUAUUGAAGACUAACUACUGCGAAAGCAUUUGCCAAGGAUGUUUUCAUUAAUCAAGAACGAAAGUUAGGGGAUCGAAGACGAUCAGAUACCGUCGUAGUCUUAACCAUAAACUAUGCCGACUAGGGAUCGGAUGAUGUUAAUUUUUUAAUGACUCAUUCGGCGCCUUACGGGAAACCAAAGUGUUUGGGUUC
Molecule: ribosomal RNA, 565 nt
Filed under: uncultured Glomeromycotina
Lineage: Eukaryota; Fungi; Glomeromycota
Description: SSU rRNA
Rfam family: Eukaryotic small subunit ribosomal RNA
Source: RNAcentral